Molecule: long non-coding RNA, 1282 nt
Organism: Onychostoma macrolepis
Lineage: Eukaryota; Metazoa; Chordata; Actinopteri; Cypriniformes; Cyprinidae
Exons: 4
Source: RefSeq, a predicted model, not a curated record
UUAUAGAAUAUCCUGUUGUUUUAUUUAUAUACAACUGACUUCAAACAAUGUUUUGCAUUCACUGCUUUCAUAUUCUCAUUCAAUUUACAGUUUGAUCUAGGCCUACUAAACAAUACAUGAUGAAGUUUCAGGACAUUUUAUUUGACUUUUAUGUGCUAUUUAUGUAAAUACGUAACUUUGAUGUGUUUUAGGCCACGCUGGCCAAUCAGAAGCCUGAAAAAGUUUCCAGUAGGCGGAGAUAACAGCGCAGGCUCCGACGUCACAAGCCAAAAACUCUGGUUUUGCCAUCUACACGAUAACACUGCAGCCGGAGUUUUUGAAAAUCUUCACCCUGGCAGGAGUUUUUCAAAGUGUUCGGUUUCAGUGACCUGGUGCAGCGUUUGCGUGAGGACGAACGGCCAAACCGCAUAGAAAAAGCUGCUGUUUUGAAAAUAACCGCGUUCGUGUGACGGCAAAAUGAGCGCGCGCGUUGAGCAUUCAAAUCGAAUUUAAACUGGAGCGGAGGAGGUUACCAUGGUAACAGGGUGUCAACUCACUCCUUUGACAAGUAGGGAGAGGCUGUCUCUCUGCUGUUUUCACUGCUUUCAGGAGUGGUUUAGUGUCUUCAAAAAGACCGUUAGCAUCAGAGGCUAACAAUUAGAGAGCUGGAGCAGAGCGGAUCUCCUGUCGAAGAACAUCUCCAAAGCGCCAUGAACCAUCUGACUAGGCAGUUCGUGAAGACAGAUAAACUGGACAGAAGUCAGUUCAAGAUCCAGCCUCCACACCAGACUUCUCACUCACAAGGAUUGCUGUCUACUAGAUAUUAUGUGUACUCUUCAGACUUGGGUUCAUACAGAUAUUAUUCAGGGACAUGAACACUUGAAUAUUGCAAAAAUAGAGAAACUACCUUAUUUAAGAAUUUUGUAUUAAUUGCAUGAACCUUAAACAUACAUAUAUAUUUAUUUUACUGUUUUUUGUUUUGUUUUCCAAAGCACCUAAAAGCCAAUUCACACUGCCAUACUCCAACAGGGUGAACACACUGACCAAGCAAAACAAAUAAUAGUGUGGACCAGGUCUGGAUUCCAGACAAGGGCCGUAACUGGCCCAAUUCAGGGCCAGUUAUGGGUAAUUAGCUUGGCUGAGACUUGGGCCAGUUAUGGCCCAUGUGUGGCCCUUGUCUGGAAUCCAGACUUGGUACACACUAGGACCGUAAGUCAUUGCGGUAUGUGGGCCAAGCAAUAGCUGAUUGUGUGGGCCAGAGAAAAAUUGCUAUGUGGGAGGGAUCUACCCUUAUGUUGUUAAA